Molecule: ribosomal RNA, 664 nt
Filed under: uncultured Candidatus Poseidoniales archaeon
Lineage: Archaea; Methanobacteriati; Thermoplasmatota; Candidatus Poseidoniia; Candidatus Poseidoniales
Description: bacterial SSU rRNA
Rfam family: Archaeal small subunit ribosomal RNA
Source: RNAcentral
UUCUGGUUGAUCCUGCCGGAGGCUACCGCUAUUGGAGUUCGAUUAAGCCAUGCGAGUCGCGAGACUUAGAAUCUCGGCGUACCGCUCAGUAACACGUGGGUAACCUGCCCUAUGCUAGGGGAUAACCUCGGGAAACUGAGAAUAAUACCCUAUAGUUCACCACGCCUGGAACGGUGGGUGGAUGAAAGCUCCGGCGGCAUAGGAUGGGCCUGCGGCGUAUCAGGUUGUAGGGGGUGUAAUGUACCCUCUAGCCAUCUACGCGUACGGGUGUUGGGAGACAUCGCCCGGAGAUGGAUUCUGAGACACGAAUCCAGACCCUACGGGGUGCAGCAGGCGCGAAAACUUGGCAAUGCGAGAAAUCGUGACCAGGGAACUCCAAGUGCAUCGGGUAAGACCGAUGCUUUUCUUGACUCUUCAAAGGUCUUGGAAUAAGGGGUGGGUAAGGACGGUGCCAGCCGCCGCGGUAAUACCGGCGCCUCAAGUGGUAGUCGCUUUUAUUGGGCCUAAAACGUCCGUAGCCGGUUUGGUACAUUCGUGGGUAAAUCAAGGCGCUCAACGUCUUGAAUUCUGCGAGCACGGCCAGACUUGGGACCGGGUGAGGUGUGGGGUACUCUCAGGGUAGGGGUAAAAUCCUGUCAUCCUGAGAGGACCACCUGUUGCGAAG